Molecule: ribosomal RNA, 224 nt
Filed under: Russuloid fungal sp. 5
Lineage: Eukaryota; Fungi; Basidiomycota; Agaricomycetes; Russulales; Russulaceae
Description: partial large subunit ribosomal RNA
Rfam family: Bacterial large subunit ribosomal RNA
Source: RNAcentral
AUGGUGGCAUAAAAUCGGAGGCCACGACUGUUUACUAAAAACACAACACAGAGCAAUCAUUAAGAUAAUAGUAUACUGUGUGAAAUUUGCUCGAUGCCAUUAAUAUAAGAGAAGUUAUGGAUUUGUUUAUUAUAGCAAUACUGUGACCUAUCGAAAAUCUGGUUAAUAGCGGUCUUAACUAUGAGGAUCCUAAGGUAGCAAAAUCAAUUGGCCAUUAAAUGUGG